CAGCUGGACGACGGGGAGCUGAUCGCCUACAUCAUCAAUGGGCUCGACGAUGAUUAUGAGCCUGUUAUCUCCACACUGGUGGGGAAAACUGAGCCGCUCACCCUCGCUGAAGCCUACUCUCAACUUCUCAGUUUUGAGA
Oryza barthii is the source of this 139-nucleotide non-coding RNA. The record is from Rfam. Lineage: Eukaryota; Viridiplantae; Streptophyta; Magnoliopsida; Poales; Poaceae.